RNAcentral lists this transfer RNA (71 nucleotides) under Marmota monax (woodchuck). Its description in RNAcentral is "tRNA.Ala". It matches the Rfam family "tRNA". Rfam says of the family: Transfer RNA (tRNA) molecules are approximately 80 nucleotides in length. Lineage: Eukaryota; Metazoa; Chordata; Mammalia; Rodentia; Sciuridae. The record is from RNAcentral.
GGGGUUGUGGCUCAGUAGUAGAGCACUUGCCUUGCAUGCAUGGAGUACUGGGUUCGAUCCUCAGCACCACA